This is an RNA transcript of Cryptotermes secundus, 3783 nucleotides long. It is a transcript of the gene named alpha-aminoadipic semialdehyde synthase, mitochondrial, with no coding region annotated. Lineage: Eukaryota; Metazoa; Arthropoda; Insecta; Blattodea; Kalotermitidae. The record is from RefSeq and is a predicted model, not a curated record. The transcript has 23 exons.
UCCGGUGUGCGCCAUCAAGUUAUGUUGUGCUGUUGCUGCCUUGUCACUGCCUGUCAUUUUGAACAAAAUAUCAGGUGUAGAAAGUCAAGGUUUGGUGUUUAUAAAUAACUAACAACAGGAAAGCUUGUUGGAAGUCUUUGUACAUGGGAAAGAAAGAAAUUACAGCAGAACUAACAAUGAGGAGGAAGGCAUUUGCAAGAUGGAAACUUCCCUCAGGCCUUGGUGGAUGAGUUCUUGCAUAGCCAGACACUCCCUGAACUUGACCUAAGUUGGAAACAACCAGACAUUGUUAGCUUCAUUGUCAAAUGCUAUCAUGAUUAUUCUUAUCUAAGAAGAUGCUUGCUACUCCAGAUGCUGCAAGAGCCCAUUGCGUUUCCAUCCUCACAAUAAUGUAUUCUGUAAUGAUGUAAACAGUUAAUAAGAAACGAGGGAUACAGUUUGGUAUCUGUUUCAAUUCUGAGUUUAUUUUGAAAAUUGAGGAAAUAUCAAGAUGCAACAAUCUGUGGUUGCCACCAUGAAGGCAUGCAAGCAGUGUGGCUUCAUAUUCAACAAGAGUGCUAAACACACCUCUGUAGAAGGAAGAGUGAUAGCAAUUCGAAGGGAGGACCAGUCUGUGUGGGAGAGGAGGGCACCACUUGCACCAUCUAAUGUACGUCGUCUUGCUCGUGCUGGAGUCAAAGUCAUUGUACAGCCAUCAAAUAGAAGGGCAUAUCCAAUGCAGACAUAUGCUGCAGCUGGAGCUGUGAUCCAGGAAGACAUUUCUGAAGCAUCAGUGAUUUUUGGUGUGAAGCAAGUCCCAGUAGAUCUGCUUAUCCCCAACAAGACUUAUUGUCUGUUCUCACACACAAUCAAGGCACAGGAUGCAAACAUGCCUCUGCUGGAUGCUAUACUGGAGAAGAAUAUACGCUUGAUAGAUUAUGAAAAGCUGAUGGAUGAACGUGGGCAGCGUGUGGUUGCAUUUGGAAAAUAUGCCGGAUUGGCAGGCAUGGUCAAUAUCCUGCAUGGUCUUGGAUUACGACUCCUGGCCCUUGGCCACCACACACCAUUCAUGCACAUAGGACCAGCACACAACUACAGGAACUCAUCUAUGGCUCGACAGGCUAUAAGAGAUGCUGGGUAUGAGAUAGCUCUGGGAAUGAUGCCUAAGUCCAUUGGCCCUCUGACUUUCGUGUUCACAGGCAGUGGGAAUGUGUCUCAGGGAGGCCAGGAAGUGUUUCAGGAGUUGCCACAUGAAUAUGUCCCACCAGACAUGCUAAGGAAGGUGGCAGAGCAUGGAUCUCACACUAAAAUCUAUGGAUGUGAGGUGCGGAGAAGGCAUUAUUUGGAGAGAAAAGAAGGUGGAGGAUUUGACUCUGAAGAAUUUGAGAAGUUUCCAUCCCGAUACAUCUCAACAUUUAGUAAGAAGAUAGCACCAUAUGCUUCUGUCAUCAUUAAUGGCAUCUACUGGGCAGUUGAUUCGCCCAAGCUGCUCACUAUUCCAGAUGCCAAAACCCUACUCAGACCUGCAAACACCCCAUGGCUUCCAUCUUCAGUUGGCUCUCCUGCUUUGCCUCACAGAAUGCUGGCAAUCUGUGAUAUCUCAGCUGAUCCAGGAGGUUCUGUUGAAUUUAUGAACGAAUGCACAACAAUUGACACACCAUUCUGUUUGUACGAUGCAGAUCGGAACAAGGAUACAAAAAGCUUCAAGGGCCCUGGCGUGCUGGUGUGCUCCAUAGAUAACAUGCCAACUCAGCUCCCUAGAGAAUCAACUGAUUUCUUUGGAGACCUUCUUUACCCUUAUGCAUUUGACAUCCUUCAGUCUGAUGCCACUCAACCCCUUGAAAAGCACAACUUCAGCCCUUCUGUGGCAGGAGCCAUUAUUGCCAGUAAUGGAAAGCUGACUCCAAAUUUCCAGUACAUACAAGAUCUGAGAUUAGCUAACAGGAGCAGCAGGCACAAAGUAUCAGGUUCAGAUGGGGAGGCACCAGCUAGCAGAGUUAUUGUACUGGGUGCAGGAAUGGUGAGUGCACCACUUGUGGAAUACCUCCACAGGGGCAACAACCUAAAUAUCACUGUUGCUUCGGCAUUGAAAGCUGAAGCAGAUGCUAUUGCUGGCCGCUUCCCAGGAGUUGAACCAGUGCUUCUAGAUGUUGUAGAAAGGGCAGACAUGUUGCAGGAUUUGAUUGGGGCCGCAGAUCUUGUUGUGUCACUUCUUCCCAGUCCUCUGCAUUAUCUGGUGGCUGAGGCCUGCAUAAAUGCUGGUGUGCACCUAGUUACAGCAUCAUAUUGUACUGAUGAACUGAAGGAUAUGCAUGACAGAGCUGCUGAGAAGGGCAUCACCAUCCUGAAUGAGGUGGGCCUAGACCCAGGCAUAGAUCAUCUACUUGCAAUGGAGUGCUUUGAUGAGGUGCAUCAGGCUGGUGGCAAGGUUGAAUCUUUUAUUUCAUUCUGUGGUGGACUACCAGCUCCUGAGUGUUCAGACAAUGCUUUGCGUUACAAGUUCAGCUGGAAUCCUCGUGGUGUACUACUCAACACACUGGGCACAGCAGCUUAUAUUCAGAAUGGACAGAUUGUUCAGAUUGCUGGAGGACAACUCAUGAGAGAAACACGUUCACUUGACUUUCUACCAGGAUUUGCUCUGGAAGGCUUUCCAAACAGGGAUUCCACUAAAUAUGCUAAACUGUACGGCAUUGAAAAUGAAUCACACACUGUUCUGCGUGGAACACUGCGUUUCCAAGGGUUUGCAGACACAAUCCAGGGUUUGCUGCUUCUGGGUCUGAUGGAUCCAAAUCCCCACCCUGCACUGCAUCCAAAGGGACCUGAGAUAACAUGGCGCCAGCUGGUGUGUACACUGCUAGGUGUGGUAGACCCCUCCAUCUUCUAUGAGAACCUCAAGACUCGAGUAGCAGCAUGUGUAGGUACUGAACGUGUCAGCGCCAUUGAAAGUCUAGGACUUUUAGAGGAAGAUCCUGUUCUGAAACUUGGCACUCCUCUUGACAGCCUCAGUCACUUCCUGUCAAGAAAAUUAUUCAUAGAAAAUGGGGAGCGUGACCUGGUAGUGUUGAGGCAUGAAGUGGCAAUACUGUGGCCUGAUGGAAAGCGAGAACUUCGUGCUAUCAAUUUGGUAGAGUAUGGUGAAAUUGAUGGACAUUCUGCCAUGGCAAAAGCUGUUGGCUUUCCUGCAGCAAUUGCAUCAAAAAUGAUACUGGAUGGUGAGAUACAACAAAAAGGAUGUAUUCUACCACUCACACCUGAUAUCUAUAGACCAAUAUUGUCCCGCCUGCGAUCAGAGGGACUCAGAGCAAAAGAACAGUCAUGUUGGGUUUGAAUUAUGUAAUACCUCACAUUUUCCUCACUUCAUAACAGUCUGAAGACAAAUAAUAAAUCAUAUUUGUUCACAACAGUAUUUGAAAACAGAAAUAUCGAUAUAGACUGAAGACUACUGGCAAGAGUUUGGUGGCAAUAAUGAAAGAGUGGAGCUAGAUAUUUGAAAUUUUGCAUGGAGAGACUAUAAACAUGUCUGCACAUGCCUUGUAUAUUUGAAAUGUUGUUGUAAAUCAAUAAUUACAAACAUGGUUUAGAUUUGAAACUUUGAAAUUACAUCCCACAAGUUUAAUGUAGACAGAAUUCUAAGAAGUCCUUCACAAAAAUGAAAUAAAACAAAAAUAACAAUAUCUCAUAAUAGAAUUUUAGUGGAAUUCUAUGAAAUCUGAAAGUAAGAUUGAGUUUGGGCCGUGCCAUAGCUGAAGCGGUUAGUCACUGGCUUCCCAUCAUAGCGGCCCGGGAUCAAUCCCAGGUCUGGUC